This 305-nucleotide long non-coding RNA is filed under the name Marmota marmota marmota (Alpine marmot). RNAcentral describes it as "lncRNA (ENSMMMG00000011187.1)". Lineage: Eukaryota; Metazoa; Chordata; Mammalia; Rodentia; Sciuridae. The record is from RNAcentral.
GACUGAUUCCAUCUGGAUAGAAUGGCGAAAUUUAAGAUGACUAUUAAGAAAAAGAACGGUAUCUUGAGGAAUGGGUGAUGGUGAAUUGCUAGAGGCUAUCCACUAUCUUUUCCCAGUGUCUCUCCAAGUUACAUUUGAUAAAUACUAUUCUUAAUACUUUACCCUGGAUGGAUGAGGCAAUACAUCUGAGCUAGUAAUCAGACUUGUUUCUUAUAUGUGAUGCCAUUCCAGCACUGGACUCAUGGAGGCUGAACAUUUAUUCAGGUAAUAAUAGGUAACAUUUAAGAGGACUUUUUAUGUGCCAG